Molecule: ribosomal RNA, 305 nt
Filed under: Rhodotorula sp.
Lineage: Eukaryota; Fungi; Basidiomycota; Microbotryomycetes; Sporidiobolales; Sporidiobolaceae
Description: partial large subunit ribosomal RNA
Rfam family: Eukaryotic large subunit ribosomal RNA
Source: RNAcentral
GAAGAGUCGAGUUGUUUGGGAAUGCAGCUCAAAUUGGGUGGUAAAUUCCAUCUAAAGCUAAAUAUUGGCGAGAGACCGAUAGCGAACAAGUACCGUGAGGGAAAGAUGAAAAGCACUUUGGAAAGAGAGUUAACAGUACGUGAAAUUGUUGGAAGGGAAACGCUUGAAGUCAGACUUGCUUGCCGAGCAAUCGGUUUGCAGGCCAGCAUCAGUUUUCCGGGAUGGAUAAUGGUAGAGAGAAGGUAGCAGUUUCGGCUGUGUUAUAGCUCUCUGCUGGAUACAUCUUGGGGGACUGAGGAACGCAG